UUAAUAGAAGCCAAACAAUAGGCUAUUCACUGUUAAUGAAUAAUUUGAAUUUAUUGAAUUUCCUAUUAAG
RNAcentral lists this transfer RNA (70 nucleotides) under Amblyomma cajennense (Cayenne tick). Its description in RNAcentral is "tRNA-Asn". Lineage: Eukaryota; Metazoa; Arthropoda; Arachnida; Ixodida; Ixodidae. The record is from RNAcentral. RNAcentral also lists the same sequence under 1 other name.